Molecule: ribosomal RNA, 492 nt
Filed under: uncultured bacterium
Lineage: Bacteria
Description: partial 16S ribosomal RNA
Rfam family: Bacterial small subunit ribosomal RNA
Source: RNAcentral
AGUGAACGCUGGCGGUAGGCCUAACACAUGCAAGUCGAACGGCAGCACAGUAAGAGCUUGCUCUUACGGGUGGCGAGUGGCGGACGGGUGAGGAAUACAUCGGAAUCUACUUUUUCGUGGGGGAUAACGUAGGGAAACUUACGCUAAUACCGCAUACGACCUACGGGUGAAAGCAGGGGAUCUUCGCACCUUGCGCGAUUGAAUGCGCCGAUGUCGGAUUAGCUAGUUGGCGGGGUAAAGACCCACCAAGGCGACGAUCCGUAGCUGGUCUGAGAGGAUGAUCAGCCACACUAGAACUGAGACACGGUCCAGACUCCUAAGGGAGGCAGCAGUGGGGAAUAUUGGACAAUGGGCGCAAGCCUGAUCCAGCCAUACCGCGUGGGUGAAGAAGGCCUUCGGGUUGUAAAGCCCUUUUGUUGGGAAAGAAAAGCAGCAGGUUAAUACCCCGCUGUUCUGACGGUACCCAAAGAAUAAGCACCGGCUAACUUCGUG